GACGAACGCUGGCGGCGUGCUUAACACAUGCAAGUCGAACGGAAAGGCCCUGCUCUUGCGGGUUUGUCGAGUGGCGAACGCGGGAGUAACACGUGUGUAAACUGUCCUUGACUGUGUGAUAACUCCAGGAAACUGGGGCGAAUAUCCGGUAGGAGCUCCUGCUGCAUAGGGUGGGUUGGAGAGUGUCGGCGUUUGUGGAUGGUCUGGCGGCUUAUGAGCUGGUUGGUGGGGUAGGUGCGUACCACGGCUUUGACGGGUAGGCGGCCUGAGAGGGUGACCGGGCACCAUGGGCCUGAGAUAGGGACCAGAAUCGUACGGGCGGCAGCGGGGGAGAAUAUUGCACAGUGGGCGGGCGCGAGAUACAGAAACGCCGCGAGCGGGAUGACGGGUUUCGAGUUGUAAACCGAUGUCGACUGUGCUGAAGAGUGAGUGACGGUAACGGGUAAAGAAGCCACGGCUAACUACGUG
RNAcentral lists this ribosomal RNA (468 nucleotides) under uncultured bacterium. RNAcentral's name for it is "partial 16S ribosomal RNA". It matches the Rfam family "Bacterial small subunit ribosomal RNA", at positions 28 to 507 of the family's 1533-position model. The record is from RNAcentral.